AGUGGAUAGAAAUGCAGGAUGAGGAGUUCCCUUGUGGCUCCUAGCAUGUGUGAGGAUCUGUGAGGAUGCAGGUUCAAUCCCUGGCCUUGCUCAGUGGGUUAAGGAUGCAGUGUUGCUGCAAGAUGACGUGGCUUGGAUCUGGCGGUGCUGUGGCUCUGACGAAGGCAGCUGCAGUUCCAAUUCAACCCCUAGCUCCAGAAACAUCCAUAGGCCACAGGUGCAGCCGUAAAAAGAAAGAAAAAAGACAUGCAGGAUGCCCAGCUCAAUCUCAGACCCUGGAAAAAUCCUCCGGUCACAGGCCACCGCCGCAUCCACAGAGUGAAAACAUGCUACCGUCCCCGUUCCGCCUGCAAACCGUGCACCUUGCUCCGCAGCGGGCACUGGGCUUUGCGGAGCAGAAACAUCGCUGGUCCGGGCCCAUCCUGCAUUCCAGCCUCCUGUACUGGGGGCUCCCAUUAGCCCCGCUCCGCUCCCUGCCAGACUCCCCACCGAGCUUUUGGGCUUUUGUCAGCUCGAGACAGCCCUUGAAAACCGUGAAAGCUGAGGGGGUGUGUGUCUAAUAAAGUUCAAGCUCUGUAAUUUCG
Molecule: long non-coding RNA, 584 nt
Filed under: Sus scrofa (pig)
Lineage: Eukaryota; Metazoa; Chordata; Mammalia; Artiodactyla; Suidae
Description: lncRNA (ENSSSCG00005001191.1)
Source: RNAcentral